AACGGUGAAAUGUGUAGAUAUCUGGAGGAACACCGGUGGCGAAAGCGGCUCACUGGGUCGUCUCUGACGCUGAGGUGCGAAAGCUAGGGUAGCAAACGGGAUUAGAUACCCCGGUAGUCCUAGCCGUAAACGAUGGGCACUAGGUAGUGGAUGCUCCUAUGACGUUCACUGCCGUAGCAAAUGUGUUAAGUGCCCCGCCUGGGGAGUACGCUCGCAAGGGUAAAACUCAAAGGAAUUGACGGGGGAUCACACAAGCGGUGGAGCAUGUGGUUUAAUUCGAAGCAACGCGAAGAACCUUACCUGGUCUUGACAUGUACGGAUUAGCUCUGUGAAAGCAGAGUGACAGCUCUUCGGAGUCGGAACGUAUACAGGUGUUGCAUGGCUGUCGUCAGCUCGUGUCGUGAGAUGUUGGGUUAAGUCCCGUAACGAGCGAAACCCUUGUCGUUAGUUGCCAGCGGGUAAUGCCGGGGACUCUAGCGAGACUGCCGUUGUUAAAACGGAGGAAGGUGGGGACGACGUCAAGUCAUCAUGGCCCUUAUGACCAGGGCGACACACGUGCUACAAUGGUCUAUACAAAGGGUUCCGAAGCCGCGAGGUCAAGGCAAUCCCAUAAAGUAGGCCCCAGUUCGGAUUGCAGGCUGCAAUUCGCCUGCAUGAAGCCGGAAUCGCUAGUAAUCGCGUAUCAGCCAUGACGCGGUGAAUAUGUUCCUGAUCCUUGUACACACCGCCCGUCAAGCCACGGAAGCGGGGAGCGCUCGAAGUCGUUAUGUCCAACCGUAAGGAGGACGACGCCGAAAGCGAGCUCCGUGACUGGGACUAAGUCGUAACAAGGUAGCCA
Molecule: ribosomal RNA, 838 nt
Filed under: uncultured bacterium
Lineage: Bacteria
Description: bacterial SSU rRNA
Rfam family: Bacterial small subunit ribosomal RNA
Source: RNAcentral